Molecule: ribosomal RNA, 493 nt
Filed under: uncultured bacterium
Lineage: Bacteria
Description: partial 16S ribosomal RNA
Rfam family: Bacterial small subunit ribosomal RNA
Source: RNAcentral
ACGCACGCUGGCGGCGUGCUUAACACCUGCCAGUCGAACGGAAAGGCCUGCUUUCCCUUGUGGAUUGCGGGUACUCGAGUGGCGAACGGGGGAGUAACACGUGAGUGAUCUGCCCCCAACUUGGGUAUAAGCCUGGGAAACUGGGUCUAAUUCCCGAUAGGACUGCAGGGUGGUGCCUGUGGUGGAAAACGAUUUUCUAGUGGUUGGGGAUGAGCUCGCGGCCUAUCAGCUUGUUGGUGGGGUAAUGGCCUACCAAGGCGGCGACGGGUAGCCGGCCUGAGAGGGUGGACGGCCACAUUGGGACUGAGAUACGGCCCAGACUCCUACGGGAGGCAGCAGUGGGGAAUAUUGCACAAUGGGCGGAAGCCUGAUGCAGCGACGCCGCGUGGGGGAUGACGGCCUUCGGGUUGUAAACUCCUUUCGACCGCGAGGAAGCCACCUGGUUGGAAGGGUGGUGACGGUAGUGGUAGAAGAAGCACCGGCUAACUACGUG